This 910-nucleotide ribosomal RNA is filed under the name uncultured bacterium. RNAcentral's name for it is "bacterial SSU rRNA". It matches the Rfam family "Bacterial small subunit ribosomal RNA", at positions 105 to 990 of the family's 1533-position model. The record is from RNAcentral.
GGUGAGUAACGCGUGGGUAAUCUACCUUCGAAUUGGGGAUAACGUUGCGAAAGCGACGCUAAUACCGAAUAACAUCCAUUAAUCUUCGGGUUUUUGGAUCAAGGGUGGCCUCUACAUGUAAGCUACUGUUUGAAGAUGAGCCCGCGUACCAUUAGCUUGUUGGUGGGGUAAAGGCCUACCAAGGCUUCGAUGGUUAGCUGGUCUGAGAGGAUGAUCAGCCACACUGGAACUGACACACGGUCCAGACUCCUACGGGAGGCAGCAGUGAGGAAUUUUGCGCAAUGGGGGAAACCCUGACGCAGCAACGCCGCGUGAGUGACGAAGGCUUUCGGGUCGUAAAGCUCUGUCAAGUGGGAAGAACCUGCAGUAUGCUAAUAUCAUAUUGCACUGACGGUACCACUGAAGGAAGCACCGGCUAACUCCGUGCCAGCAGCCGCGGUAAUACGGGGGGUGCAAGCGUUAUUCGGAAUCAUUGGGCGUAAAGAGCACGUAGGCGGCUUGGUAAGUCAGAUGUGAAAGCCCGGGGCUUAACCCCGGAAGUGCAUUUGAUACUGUCAGGCUUGAGUAUGGGAGAGGGAAGUGGAAUUCCUGGUGUAGAGGUGAAAUUCGUAGAUAUCAGGAGGAACACCGGUGGCGAAGGCGACUUCCUGGACCAAUACUGACGCUGAGGUGCGAAGGCGUGGGUAGCAAACAGGAUUAGAUACCCUGGUAGUCCACGCAGUAAACGUUGUUCACUAGGUGUAGCGGGUAUUGACCCCUGCUGUGCCGCAGUUAACGCAUUAAGUGAACCGCCUGGGGAGUACGGCCGCAAGGCUAAAACUCAAAGGAAUUGACGGGGGCCCGCACAAGCGGUGGAGCAUGUGGUUCAUUUCGACGCAACGCGCAGAACCUUACCUGGGUUUGACAUCCC